Molecule: ribosomal RNA, 373 nt
Filed under: uncultured bacterium
Lineage: Bacteria
Description: bacterial SSU rRNA
Rfam family: Bacterial small subunit ribosomal RNA
Source: RNAcentral
GUGGGGUGCAAGCGUUGUUCGGAAUUACUGGGCGUAAAGCGCGUGUAGGCGGCCUUGCAAGCCAGACGUGAAAGCCCUCGGCUUAACCGGGGAAGUGCGUCUGAAACUGGUAGGCUUGAGUAUCGGAGAGGAAAGUGGAAUUCCCGGUGUAGAGGUGAAAUUCGUAGAUAUCGGGAGGAAUACCGGUGGCGAAGGCGACUUUCUGGACGAAUACUGACGCUGAGGCGCGAAAGCGUGGGGAGCAAACAGGAUUAGAUACCCUGGUAGUCCACAGCUGUAAACGAUGUGCACUAGAUGUGGGGAAGUGUUGACCUUUCCUGUGUCGCAGCUAACGCAUUAAGUGCACCGCCUGGGGAGUACGGCCGCAAGGUUA